GCCAGUUUGGUGUAGAGGUUUAAGUGCUGGAUGAGGACUCCAGAGACCAGGGUUUGAAUCCCAUUUGGCC
Molecule: non-coding RNA, 70 nt
Organism: Phrynosoma platyrhinos (Desert horned lizard)
Lineage: Eukaryota; Metazoa; Chordata; Lepidosauria; Squamata; Phrynosomatidae
Source: the annotation of a GenBank genome assembly